CCUACGGGAGGCAGCAGUGGGGGAUAUUGCACAAUGGGGGAAACCCUGAUGCAGCGACGCCGCGUGAGUGAAGAAGUAUUUCGGUAUGUAAAGCUCUAUCAGCAGGGAAGAAAAUGACGGUACCUGACCAAGAAGCCCCGGCUAACUACGUGCCAGCAGCCGCGGUAAUACGUAGGGGGCAAGCGUUAUCCGGAUUUACUGGGUGUAAAGGGAGCGUAGACGGUUAUGUAAGUCUGGAGUGAAAGCACGGGGCCCAACCCCGGGACUGCUUUGGAAACUGUGUAGCUGGAGUACAGGAGGGGCAGGCGGAAGUCCUGGUGUAGCGGUGAAAGGCGUAGAUAUCAGGAGGAACACCGGCGGCGAAGGAGGCAUGCUGGACUGAAACUGACGUUGAGGCUCGAAAGCGUGGGGAGCAAACAGGAUUAGAUACCCGAGUAGUC
RNAcentral lists this ribosomal RNA (440 nucleotides) under uncultured bacterium. RNAcentral's name for it is "partial 16S ribosomal RNA". It matches the Rfam family "Bacterial small subunit ribosomal RNA", at positions 338 to 795 of the family's 1533-position model. The record is from RNAcentral.